RNAcentral lists this ribosomal RNA (253 nucleotides) under uncultured bacterium. Its description in RNAcentral is "partial 16S ribosomal RNA". It matches the Rfam family "Bacterial small subunit ribosomal RNA", at positions 524 to 776 of the family's 1533-position model. The record is from RNAcentral.
UACAUAGGGGGCAAGCGUUAUCCGGAAUUACUGGGUGUAAAGGGUGCGUAGGCGGUUAGGAAAGUCAGAUGUGAAACCCCAUGGCUCAACUGUGGGCAUGCAUUUGAAACUUCUUGACUAGAGUACAGGAGAGGUAAGUGGAAUUCCUAGUGUAGCGGUUAAAUGCGUAGAUAUUAGGAAGAACACCAGUGGCGAAAGCGACUUACUGGACUGAAACUGACGCUGAGGCACGAAAGCGUGGGGAGCGAACAGG